UACGUAGGGUGCGAGCGUUAAUCGGAAUUACUGGGCGUAAAGCGUGCGCAGGCGGUUGCUGAAGUCCGUUGUGAAAGCCCGGGGCUCAACCUGGGAAUUGCAUUUGAGACUGCGUAGCUAGGGUGCGGAAGAGGGAAGCGGAAUUUCCGGUGUAGCGGUGAAAUGCGUAGAUAUCGGAAGGAACACCAGUGGCGAAAGCGGCUUCCUGGUCCAGCACCGACGUUCAGGCACGAAAGCGUGGGGAGCAAACAGG
Molecule: ribosomal RNA, 253 nt
Filed under: uncultured bacterium
Lineage: Bacteria
Description: partial 16S ribosomal RNA
Rfam family: Bacterial small subunit ribosomal RNA
Source: RNAcentral